Molecule: ribosomal RNA, 398 nt
Filed under: uncultured Wolbachia sp.
Lineage: Bacteria; Pseudomonadati; Pseudomonadota; Alphaproteobacteria; Rickettsiales; Anaplasmataceae
Description: bacterial SSU rRNA
Rfam family: Bacterial small subunit ribosomal RNA
Source: RNAcentral
UAACAGGUGUUGCAUGGCUGUCGUCAGCUCGUGUCGUGAGAUAGUUGGGUUAAGUCCCGCAACGAGCGCAACCCUCAUCCUUAGUUACCAUCAGGUAAUGCUGGGGACUUUAAGGAAACUGCCAGUGAUAAACUGGAGGAAGGUGGGGAUGAUGUCAAGUCAUCAUGGCCCUUAUGGAGUGGGCUACACACGUGCUACAAUGGUGGCUACAAUGGGCUGCAAAGUCGCGAGGCUAAGCUAAUCCCUUAAAAGCCAUCUCAGUUCGGAUUGUACUCUGCAACUCGAGUGCAUGAAGUUGGAAUCGCUAGUAAUCGUGGAUCAGCACGCCACGGUGAAUACGUUCUCGGGUCUUGUACACACUGCCCGUCACGCCAUGGGAAUUGGUUUCACUCGAAGCU